GGAUGCAACCAUCUUAUUAUCAACUCGGACAAUCUGGAGGUGAUUGAUACCAUGAAGGAAGGGGGACGGUCGGUGGGAGCGGUGGCGGUGAUCUUUGAUGAUUGUUUUCAUUUUGCUUGUGAUUUCCCUAUUACUAGAUUUGAGCAUUGUAAUAGAGAAGCAACUAAAAUUGCUCACAAGCUCGCUGCAUUAGCUAGAUUUUCUUUGACUUCUAAUUGGUUUGAGGAACCCUUAACUGAAAUUGUACCGAUCCUCAUAAACGAUGUAUUGCCUAUUUCCAAUGAAUAA
This 288-nucleotide ribosomal RNA is filed under the name Triticum aestivum (bread wheat). RNAcentral describes it as "partial small subunit ribosomal RNA". Lineage: Eukaryota; Viridiplantae; Streptophyta; Magnoliopsida; Poales; Poaceae. The record is from RNAcentral.